Molecule: long non-coding RNA, 664 nt
Organism: Agrilus planipennis (emerald ash borer)
Lineage: Eukaryota; Metazoa; Arthropoda; Insecta; Coleoptera; Buprestidae
Exons: 2
Source: RefSeq, a predicted model, not a curated record
UUUUGUUUAAUAUUAUACUCUUUCAGGUACAUCUUCCAGUCCAGCUACUGAACAGGAACUCCAUCAGCAAUUGGCCAUUUCCAGGAUCGCCAGGACCGCUUCAACAGGGAUUCAGGGAACUCCAGGGACAUCAGUCAUCGUGGGAGAUCAUCGCCACCAUCGAGGGACCAUUUCUAACGGGUGCGAAUAGCCCCCAACGGUAACGGUCAUCUUCCAAUGGCUGGAGCCAUCCUCCAAGGGUAAGAAGUUCCUUCCAACACCAACGAUCACCACUUAUAGGUAAGACUUAUCCCUUCGCAAACAGGAACACCUUCAAGGGGCUUGAAGGUGAUCCUGUCUACGGGAGGGUGGUACUUGUACCAUAUCUCCCGCAGAUAUGAUCAUCUUCAAGCAACUUGAAGCUGAUUUCUGCUUGCCCAGGCAUAAGUCAAGCCUCUCAGUGGCGAUCAGUGGCGAUCCAAGUUGUUGGAAGGCACUUCUGACCACUUGGAAGAUGGUUCCUGGUCAUUGAAAGGUGGCAGUUUACCACUUGGAGGCUAUUCAAACCUGCUAAAAAUGGUCCCGCGCGCGGACAGGGGACCCGCGUCCUCCACCGGCGUCGAAUUACAAAAACCUUCGAUGUAGGGAUGCACCAGUCAAAAAAUAAAGAAUUUGUCCUUUUUAA